This 252-nucleotide ribosomal RNA is filed under the name uncultured bacterium. Its description in RNAcentral is "partial 16S ribosomal RNA". It matches the Rfam family "Bacterial small subunit ribosomal RNA", at positions 525 to 776 of the family's 1533-position model. The record is from RNAcentral.
ACAGAGGUCCCAAGCGUUGUUCGGAUUCACUGGGCGUAAAGGGUGCGUAGGUGGCAAGGUAAGUCUGAUGUGAAAUCUUCGAGCUCAACUCGGAAACUGCAUCGGAAACUAUCUGGCUUGAGGAUUGGAGGGGGGACUGGAAUUCUCGGUGUAGCAGUGAAAUGCGUAGAUAUCGAGAGGAACACCAGUGGCGAAGGCGAGUCCCUGGACAAUUCCUGACACUGAGGCACGAAAGCUAGGGGAGCAAACAGG